AAUUCUACCAGGUUGGGUAAGGAGGUUACACAUUUACUUCCUGUAAUGAAUGUCUUUAUCUCAAUAUUAUCGGCAUAUACUAAGAUUCCUAAGGGCUUAAUUCCUCAAAGGGAGGAUGCAAUAUCCUUGGGAGGACAACAGAGCGAAUGGAUCCAGAAAUGAGGGCGGUCACCUACAAGGGUACACUGAAGAAGCUGCUGGUGUUUUCCUUCGUGCAAAGAAAAUUGAGAGGAGUAUUGAUAGAGAUAUGCAAUAGUAGAGCAAAUUAACAUCCAUCAUCAAGGACACCCCCACCACACAGGACAUGCUUUCUUCUCACUGCUGCUAUCAGGAAGAAGGUACAGGAGCCUCAGGACUCACACCACCAGGUUCAGGAACAGCUACUACCCAUCAACCAUCAAGCUUUUGAACCUAAGAGGAUAACUUCACCCAACUUCACUUGCCCCAUCAUUGAAACGUUCCACAACCAAUGUAUUCACUUUCAAGGACUCUUCAUCUCAAGUUUUCAAUACUUACUGAUUAUUUAUUAUUAGUAUUUCUUUUUUUUUGUAUUUGCACAGUUUGUUGUCUUUUUCACACUGGUUGAAAGCCCAAGUUAAUGCAGUCUUUCAAUGACUCUAUUAUGGUUAUUAUUCUAUUAUGAAUUCAUUGAGUAUGCCUGUAGGAAAAUGAUUCUCAAAGGCUGUAUAUGGAGACAUAUAUGUACUUUGAUAAUAAAUUUACUUUCAGCUUUGGACCUUACCUCUAUCGGUGACCCUACCAGGAACUAAACGCCAGAUGGCAUCACUCUAGAGAUCUUAGGAACUCGCAAGCCUCUCCACACAACAAAAUGUCGUUGAGUAGGUGUGUCUGUGCUUCUGUGGUUUUGUGACUGUGUGUCUAUAUUUAUGUCCUUUACAUACAUCUCUGCAUCUGUAUACGUACCUGAGUCCGUGUGCCUGAAUGAAGAAAGAAAUAAGUUGAGUGAAUUGGAGCUGAAGUGUGGAACAAUCAGACUCAAAUAAGACUGCGACAAACUGAUAAUAAUAAGUAAUUUUGGAAUCCAAGUUAAUGUAUUUAAUGGGCCAGAAUGUAAUUAAAACCUGACAGGAUGAUUGAAGCAAAAGUAUGUAAAUGAGGAAUUUUAAUGGAUAAAUUAUCUUUUGUAAGAGCUUGUGGGGUUUGUGCUUAUGCAUUUUAAUUUCUAUUGAACUGACGGAGACUAAAUGAAUCAACAGGAAUAAUAGAACGUAGGAAGGAGAAGAAAAAUGAGUGGACUCACUGGGCAGAUAAUUUUGCCUUACCAGUGACUGAGUUUCAUAUUAAUUGGACAGAUUAAUAACUAUUUCUUAACUUAAUUUAAAACUAUUGUAAAGAUUUAAAAUUGUGCCUGGUUUUCAGUUUUAUUUCUGUGACAUGCUGGAAUCUGUUUUUCGUUUGCUGUUAACUUCCAUCUCAGUUUUCUGCAAUGAAUCAUGGGUUACGGCUCCAUCAAGGCCAAAACUAUUUCCGAAUAGAAAUGAAAGCUUACUUUGUUGUUGCCAUUAUCGACUCAUUCUUUUUUUUUAAACCAAGAUUUUAAUUAUUAUUCUCUUUGCUUGA
Hypanus sabinus (Atlantic stingray) is the source of this 1581-nucleotide long non-coding RNA. RefSeq lists it as uncharacterized. The record is from RefSeq and is a predicted model, not a curated record. The transcript is spliced from 3 exons. Lineage: Eukaryota; Metazoa; Chordata; Chondrichthyes; Myliobatiformes; Dasyatidae.